Phrynosoma platyrhinos (Desert horned lizard) is the source of this 72-nucleotide non-coding RNA. The record is from the annotation of a GenBank genome assembly. Lineage: Eukaryota; Metazoa; Chordata; Lepidosauria; Squamata; Phrynosomatidae.
GCCAGUAUGGUGUAGUGGUUUGAGUACUGGACAAUAACUCUGGAGACCAGGGUUUGAAUCCCAGCUCAGUCA